ACGCUAGCGAUAGGCUUAACACAUGCAAGUCGAGGGGCAGCAUGGUCUUAGCUUGCUAAGACUGAUGGCGACCGGCGCACGGGUGCGUAACGCGUAUGCAACUUGCCUCACAGAGGGGGAUAACCCGUCGAAAGACGGACUAAUACCGCGUACACUCUAUGUUGGGCAUCCAAUGUAGAGGAAAUGAACUUCGCUGUGAGAUAGGCAUGCGUCCCAUUAGCUAGUUGGUGAGGUAACGGCUCACCAAGGCGACGAUGGGUAGGGGAACUGAGAGGUUGAACCCCCACACUGGUGCUGAGACACGGACCAGACACCUACGGGAGGCAGCAGUGAGGAAUAUUGGUCAAUGGGCGAGAGCCUGAACCAGCCAAGUCGCGUGAAGGAUGACUGUCUUAUGGAUUGUAAACUUCUUUUAUACGGGAAUAACAAGAGUCACGUGUGGCUCCCUGCAUGUACCGUAUGAAUAAGCAUCGGCUAACUCCGUGCCAGCAGCCGCGGUAAUACGGAGGAUGCGAGCGUUAUCCGGAUUUAUUGGGUUUAAAGGGUGCGUAGGCGGCCUGUUAAGUCAGCGGUGAAAUCUAGGAGCUUAACUCCUAAAUUGCCAUUGAUACUGGCGGGCUUGAGUGUAGAUGAGGUAGGCGGAAUGCGUGGUGUAGCGGUGGAAUGCAUAGAUAUCACGCAGAACUCCGAUUGCGAAGGCAGCUUACUAAGGUACAACUGACGCUGAAGCACGAAAGCGUGGGUAUCAAACAGGAUUAGAUACCCUGGUAGUCCACGCAGUAAACGAUGAUAACUGGGCGUAUGCGAUAUACAGUAUGCUCCUAAGCGAGAGCGUUAAGUUAUCCACCUGGGGAGUACUCCGGCAACGGUGAAACUCAAAGGAAUUGACGGGGGCCCGCACAAGCGGAGG
This 910-nucleotide ribosomal RNA is filed under the name uncultured bacterium. Its description in RNAcentral is "bacterial SSU rRNA". It matches the Rfam family "Bacterial small subunit ribosomal RNA", at positions 33 to 935 of the family's 1533-position model. The record is from RNAcentral.